CUCCAGCAUUGACUUAUCCCAUUUGAAGGACUUGGUUUAGCAUGAAUGCAUAUCAUAUAAAGCAGAAAGCAUCAUUCCGGAAAAAUGAAAACAAUCUGAAGCAGAUGGUUAUAAUUUCAAAAGCUCAAGAGUGGAGUUAUUCAUGUUAAAGUGAAUUGCUGAAGGCUUGAAGCUUAAUUCUUAACAAAUUCACUAUCAGGUUGUUUCUCCUCCUCUUUGUUCUAUUAUUUUUCGAUUGCUUACAAGAAUAUUUGAUGUUUUUCAAAUGACAUUAAUUUAUAUGUUUUGCUCUAAUUACCUAUCCUGUAAUUUUUAAAACAUAUUGCAUCGUAUGUCAACGCCAUAUAUUACAUUCAUGUCCAAUAGUAUAUACACUUCCUACUUCCUAGUUCCAGAUUCGUGCUAAAGCUGUUAUUGGAUUAAGUGAUACUUAAUUGAUCCAACUUAAUUUCAUGUUGCUGGUCUAUAACAUGCAGUGACCACACCAGAAUUGAAAAUAUUAAGGAAUGGACGGAGCUUCAUCAGUGAUUCCAGAAUAUUCGGAGAUAGGCAGCACAAGUAGUUCAGAGAGUCAAGCUCAGGCUCAGUAUUUGGAGACACAAUUAACCAACAUGCUUCGAAAAGUGGAUCCAGAAAUUACAGAACUCAAUGAGAAAUGCAUUUAUAGAGUACCAGAAAAAUUUCGCCGUGUUAAUCCAAAAGCCUAUACUCCUCGGGUUGUUUCAAUUGGCCCGUUUCACAAUCCACGGUACUCUAACGGAGGUGACAAUUUGAAACUAAUGGAAGAACGAAAGCUGAAAUAUCUUGAGAAAUUUCUAAAUAGAAACAAGCACUUGAGCAUGAAGGGUUUAUUUCUCAGACUUAUUGAGAAGGAAAAGCAGAUAAGAGGUUAUUAUGCAGAGCCUGUCAGUUAUAGCAGCGACGAUUUCUUAACGAUGAUUCUAGUUGAUGCUUGUUUUAUAAUUGAGCAUUUUCUUAGAUACUAUACAGGCUUAACUUUAACAGAAAGAGACACCUUAUCAGAACCAUGCUUGUUAAGUGAUAUUUAUCAUGAUAUGAUUCUGCUUGAAAAUCAACUUCCUUUUUUCGUUCUUGAAGACAUAUUCAACUCUGCUCACCCGGGUAUGAUUGUUGAAUUUCCCUACAAGGAUGUUAAAGGCAUAAACGACGACUACGCUGGCCCUAUUACAGAUGUUGAGUCUCUCUCCUUUAUUGCUAUUACUUUCCACUAUUUUCGAAAAUACAACCACUAUAUCAUAGAACCUGCCCAUAUUGAUCGUCCAUAUCAUUUCAUUGAUCUUCUAAGAAUCUUUUGGCUUCCAAUUCCAAUUCCUCCUGAAAGUCUAAAAUCAGGUUUUAUGGAUAAACUUAUACCAAGUGCAAGCCAACUAUCAGAGGUAGGUCUGAUAUUCAAAGCUAGUUUAACUCCAGGCUUGUUUGACAUAAAAUAUGAUCAUCAUAUGGGUGUUAUGGAAAUUCCAUGCAUACUUAUAAAUCACAAGACGGAGACGGAGUUGAGAAAUAUACUGGCAUUAGAGCAAUGUCGCUACAUACUUUCACCCAACAUGACUCAGUACUUGUUCAUCCUAGAUUGUCUUGUCAACACCGACAAAGACGCAAGCAUACUAAUUGAUAACAAAAUUUUUAUCAAUUGGUUGGGUGAUGCCAAUGCUGUGGCUAAAAUGUUUAACAGUCUUUGUUCAAAUGUUGGUCUGCCAUUUAUCAGUGAAGAGUGUUUUUCUCUCUGUGAUAACUUGGUUAAAUUCUAUGAAAAUCCUCGCAACAAGUACAAGGCUAUCUUUUAUCAUGAGUACUUCAACACUCCAUGGAAAAAAGCAUCUACAUCUGCUGCAGUUCUACUCCUUUUGCUCACUCUGAUUCAGACUAUAUGUUCCGUCAUCUCGUUUUUUUGAAGGACUCGGUUUAGCAUGAAUGAAAAUUCUAUAAAGCAUUAAACGUCAUUCCGGAAAAAUGAGAAUAAUCUGAAGCAGGCUAUUAUCUCAAGAUCUCAAGAGUGGAUCGAGCUGUGCAUGUUUAAGUGAUUUGCUGAAGAUUAAUCCUUAACAGCUUCACUAUCAGAGAACAAGCCACUCAUGCGAGUUUUAGGAGAUGCUUACAGUUGGACACAAGGAUGGGAUCUUUUUUGCUACUCGCUCUAAUUAACAACAAUUGAUUAUAUGUAGUUUAAGAAAUGAUGCUAUGUUUGCCUCAAAUAACCAUUAUUUGUUGUGGUUUUGAGAAUUCUGAGCCCUUCUAAGAGAACGAAUAAUGAUUGUUAUAUUGAAAUAAGAUAAAUAAGAUGAAUGCUAGUGAGAGAACUCUCUUUAAUUCAUUAAUUGAAAUUGAAAUUUAUUGAAAAUCAUUAAUAUCGGUCUCUUCAAUUCCGCACACCUUCACCGUUGGGAUUUGUGAGAUAUUAUUCAUGGAGAGAGAAAACGGAAUCGCACGAAGACAAUAUAAAUGGAGGCUUCAAUUCUUUUUCAUCAUCUUUAACGUUUGAGAACCUUAUUAGAGCAAUCAGAGAAAAAACUUGAGGAAUUUCAGGAAAUUACUAGAGAUGUCGCCGCUGUCACAAUACACACGUGAGCUCGCUUAGAGGUAAGGGAUGAGUUUAUUGCAAUUGGGGUUAGAAUGAACAUGUGUAAGGAUCCUUAGAGAAUUAAAUUUGGGUUAUAAUGAACAUGUGUAAGGGUCAUCGCUUAGAGGUAAGUGAUGAGUUUAUUGCAAUUGGGGUUAGAAUGAACAUGUGUAAGGAUCCUUAGAGAAUUAAAUUUAGGUUAUAAUGAACAUGUGUAAGGGUCGUCCAUUCUGAAUGAAAAGAAGUC
This is an RNA transcript of Glycine soja, 2825 nucleotides long. It is a transcript of the gene named UPF0481 protein At3g47200-like, with no coding region annotated. The record is from RefSeq and is a predicted model, not a curated record. NCBI's taxonomy places the organism in Eukaryota, Viridiplantae, Streptophyta, Magnoliopsida, Fabales, Fabaceae. The transcript has 3 exons.